GCCGGAGGGAAACCGAGUCUUAACCGGGCGUUAAGUUGCAGGGUAUAGACCCGAAACCCGGUGAUCUAGCCAUGGGCAGGUUGAAGGUUGGGUAACACUAACUGGAGGACCGAACCGACUAAUGUUGAAAAAUUAGCGGAUGACCUGUGGCUGGGGGUGAAAGGCCAAUCAAACCGGGAGAUAGCUGGUUCUCCCCGAAAGCUAUUUAGGUAGCGCCUCGUGAAUUCAUCUCCGGGGGUAGAGCACUGUUUCGGCUAGGGGGCCAUCCCGGCUUACCAACCCGAUGCAAACUGCGAAUACCGGAGAAUGUUAUCACGGGAGACACACGGCGGGUGCUAACGUCCGUCGUGAAGAGGGAAACAACCCAGACCGCCAGCUAAGGUCCCAAAGUCAUGGUUAAGUGGGAAACGAUGUGGGAAGGCCCAGACAGCCAGGAUGUUGGCUUAGAAGCAGCCAUCAUUUAAAGAAAGCGUAAUAGCUCACUGGUCGAGUCGGCCUGCGCGGAAGAUGUAACGGGGCUAAACCAUGCACCGAAGCUGCGGCAGCGAACGUAUCACCCAAGACAACUUUACGGAGUUGACGAUUGACGGAGCGAAGCGACGUCAAAGCGUUCAUUAAAGUCGAGUUGGCUUAGGGAUACGUUCGUUGGGUAGGGGAGCGUUCUGUAAGCCUGUGAAGGUGUGUCGUGAGGCAUGCUGGAGGUAUCAGAAGUGCGAAUGCUGACAUAAGUAACGAUAAAGCGGGUGAAAAGCCCGCUCGCCGGAAGACCAAGGGUUCCUGUCCAACGUUAAUCGGGGCAGGGUGAGUCGACCCCUAAGGCGAGGCCGAAAGGCGUAGUCGAUGGGAAACGGGUUAAUAUUCCCGUACUUGGUGUUACUGCGAAGGGGGGACGGAGAAGGCUAUGUUGGCCGGGCGACGGUUGUCCCGGUUUAAGCGUGUAGGUGUGUGUUCCAGGUAAAUCCGGUUCACUUUAACACUGAGGCGUGACGACGAGGCACUACGGUGCUGAAGCAACAAAUGCCCUGCUUCCAGGAAAAGCCUCUAAGCAUCAGGUAACAUCAAAUCGUACCCCAAACCGACACAGGUGGUCAGGUAGAGAAUACCAAGGCGCUUGAGAGAACUCGGGUGAAGGAACUAGGCAAAAUGGUGCCGUAACUUCGGGAGAAGGCACGCUGACACGUAGGUGAAGUGAUUUACUCA
RNAcentral lists this ribosomal RNA (1200 nucleotides) under Salmonella enterica. RNAcentral's name for it is "partial 23S ribosomal RNA". It matches the Rfam family "Bacterial large subunit ribosomal RNA", at positions 665 to 1773 of the family's 2925-position model. Lineage: Bacteria; Pseudomonadati; Pseudomonadota; Gammaproteobacteria; Enterobacterales; Enterobacteriaceae. The record is from RNAcentral. RNAcentral also lists the same sequence under 1 other name.